GUUGAUAGAGGUUGCGUACUUUAAGAGUAGCUUUUUGGAUGCGGCAAGCGCAGAGGAAGAUGAGUGAAAGGAAAGCACGCCGAAAGCGUAUGGCACUUGCCGUCAUACUGCUUGGGCAUAGGGUUAAGAGCCCUGUGACUGUCAUCUUUUUGGAUGGGGCGCUAUCGGU
RNAcentral lists this non-coding RNA (169 nucleotides) under uncultured Roseburia sp. RNAcentral describes it as "Lysine riboswitch". It matches the Rfam family "Lysine riboswitch aptamer". From Rfam's summary of the family: Riboswitches are metabolite binding domains within certain messenger RNAs that serve as precision sensors for their corresponding targets. Allosteric rearrangement of mRNA structure is mediated by ligand binding, and this results in modulation of gene expression. Lineage: Bacteria; Bacillati; Bacillota; Clostridia; Lachnospirales; Lachnospiraceae. The record is from RNAcentral.